CUAGUAUUUGUUCAUACACAAAGGUUAUUCCUGUUUAUAUCCCAAUCAAAUUACUCGAUCAGUGUAAGACUUAAAAGAGUGUUAACUGGCUUAAUGCUGGUGAAAGAGUAGGUAACCAGUAUUAAACUAACAUGAGUUAAAUUGGCAAAAAAAAAUGCUUCUGCAUUUUUUGUUCUACACUUGUUUUAGUUGUCGCUUGAACUGAUGCCUCUUUCAGUGUGCUAGUGGUGCUCUCUGCUUGGGCAUUGAUGCGAGUCUUUGAAGCUUGCAAUGUGCGAAAAAGAGCACUACCGGUCCUGAUGAACAAAGCUGAUUGGUUGAGGAAAAUAUGAN
This 333-nucleotide long non-coding RNA is filed under the name Musa acuminata (dwarf banana). Its description in RNAcentral is "long non-coding RNA (MACU_LNC005834)". The record is from RNAcentral. Lineage: Eukaryota; Viridiplantae; Streptophyta; Magnoliopsida; Zingiberales; Musaceae.